RNAcentral lists this ribosomal RNA (677 nucleotides) under uncultured Geothrix sp. RNAcentral's name for it is "bacterial SSU rRNA". It matches the Rfam family "Bacterial small subunit ribosomal RNA", at positions 60 to 732 of the family's 1533-position model. Lineage: Bacteria; Pseudomonadati; Acidobacteriota; Holophagae; Holophagales; Holophagaceae. The record is from RNAcentral.
AGUCGAAUGUGCCGCAGGUGCAUGGCAGACGGGUGAGUAACGCGUGGGGAAUCUACCUUUUAGUGGGGAAUAACGAUCCGAAAGGAUUGGUAAUACCGCAUGAGAUUCACGGCUGGGAUGCUGUGACUGAAACCUGGGGACCGCAAGGCCUGGGGCUAGAAGAGGAUCCUGCGUCUGAUUAGCUAGUUGGCGGGGUAACGGCCCACCAAGGCGACGAUCAGUAGCCGGCCUGAGAGGGUGAUCGGCCACACUGGAACUGAGACACGGUCCAGACUCCUACGGGAGGCAGCAGUGGGGAAUUUUGCGCAAUGGACGAAAGUCUGACGCAGCAACGCCGCGUGGGUGAUGAAGGUCUUCGGAUCGUAAAACCCUGUCGUCGGGGACGAAGGUUGGGGUGUUAAUAGCGCUUCAGUUUGACGGUACCCGGAGAGGAAGCCCCGGCUAACUCUGUGCCAGCAGCCGCGGUAAUACAGAGGGGGCAAGCGUUAUUCGGAAUUAUUGGGCGUAAAGGGCGCGUAGGCGGUGCUUUAAGUGAGAUGUGCAAUCCCCGAGCUUAACUUGGGAACUGCAUCUCAUACUGGAGCGCUAGAGUACUGGAGAGGGCGGUGGAAUUCCUCGUGUAGCGGUGAAAUGCGUAUAGAUGAGGAGGAACGCCAGUGGCGAAGGCGGCCGCCUGG